RNAcentral lists this ribosomal RNA (608 nucleotides) under Nostoc verrucosum AUS-JR/MT/NT-115. RNAcentral's name for it is "bacterial SSU rRNA". It matches the Rfam family "Bacterial small subunit ribosomal RNA", at positions 145 to 797 of the family's 1533-position model. The record is from RNAcentral. Lineage: Bacteria; Bacillati; Cyanobacteriota; Cyanophyceae; Nostocales; Nostocaceae.
AACCACUGGAACGGUGGCUAAUACCGGAUGUGCCGCAGGUGAAAGAUUAAUUGCCUGAAGAUGAACUCGCGUCUGAUUAACUAGUAAGUGUGGUAAGAGCGCACCUAGGCGACGAUCAGUAGCUGGUCUGAAAGGAUGAUCAGCCACACUGGGACUGAAACACGGCCCAAACUCCUACGGGAGGCAGCAGUGGGGAAUUUUCCGCAAUGGGCGAAAGCCUGACGGAACAAUACCGCGUGAGGGAAGAAGGCUCUUGGGUUGUAAACCUCUUUUCUCAAGGAAGAACACAAUGACCGUACUUGAGGAAUCAGCAUCGGCUAACUCCGUGCCAGCAGCCGCGGUAAUACGGAAGAAGCAAGCGUUAUCCGGAAUGAUUGGGCGUAAAGCGUCCGCAGGUGGCGAUGUAAGUCUGCUGGUAAAGAAUGAGGCUCAACCUCCUAAAAACAGUGGAAACUACAUAACUAGAGUGCGGUAGGGGCAGAAGGAAUUCCUGGUGAACGGUGAAAUGCGUAAAAAUCAAGAAGAAACCGGUGGCGAAACGCUCUGCUAGGCCGAACUGAACUGAAGGACGAAACUAGGGGAAGAAAGGGAUAAAACCCCGGAAUCAA